Molecule: ribosomal RNA, 427 nt
Filed under: Acanthamoeba genotype T4
Lineage: Eukaryota; Discosea; Longamoebia; Acanthamoebidae
Description: SSU rRNA
Rfam family: Eukaryotic small subunit ribosomal RNA
Source: RNAcentral
UACCGUGAAAAAAUUAGAGUGUUCAAAGCAGGCAGAUCCAAUUUUCUGCCACCGAAUACAUUAGCAUGGGAUAAUGGAAUAGGACCCUGUCCUCCUAUUUUCAGUUGGUUUUGGCAGCGCGAGGACUAGGGUAAUGAUUAAUAGGGAUAGUUGGGGGCAUUAAUAUUUAAUUGUCAGAGGUGAAAUUCUUGGAUUUAUGAAAGAUUAACUUCUGCGAAAGCAUCUGCCAAGGAUGUUUUCAUUAAUCAAGAACGAAAGUUAGGGGAUCGAAGACGAUCAGAUACCGUCGUAGUCUUAACCAUAAACGAUGCCGACCAGCGAUUAGGAGACGUUGAAUACAAAACACCACCAUCGGUGCGGUCGUCCUUGGCGUCGGUCUUUCGGGGCCGGCGCGGGGACGGCUUAGCCCGGUGGCACCGGUGAAUGA